UACGUGGGGGGCAAACGUUGUUCGGAAUCACUGGGCGUAAAGGGAGCGUAGGCGGGCUUCUAAGUUAGAUGUUUAAUCCCGGGGCCCAACCCCGGACAGGCACCUAAAACUGGAAGUCUUGAAUAGUGGAGAGGACGGCGGAAUUGGGGGUGUAGCGGUGGAAUGCGUAGAGAUCCCCAAGAACACCAGUUGCGAAGGCGGCCGUCUGGACACAUAUUGACGCUGAGGCUCGAAAGCAUGGGGAGCAAACAGG
This 253-nucleotide ribosomal RNA is filed under the name uncultured bacterium. RNAcentral describes it as "partial 16S ribosomal RNA". It matches the Rfam family "Bacterial small subunit ribosomal RNA", at positions 524 to 776 of the family's 1533-position model. The record is from RNAcentral.